CGCGUAGGCGGCCGAUCAAGUCGGAGGUGAAAUCCCUCGUCUCAACUGAGGAAUUGCCUUCGAUACUGUUCGGCUUGAGUCCUGGAGAGGGUAGCGGAAUUCCCGGUGUAGCGGUGAAAUGCGUAGAGACCGGGAAGAACACCAGUGGCGAAGGCGGCUACCUGGACAGGUACUGACGCUGAAGCGCGAAAGCUAGGGGAGCAAACA
This 207-nucleotide ribosomal RNA is filed under the name uncultured bacterium. RNAcentral's name for it is "partial 16S ribosomal RNA". It matches the Rfam family "Bacterial small subunit ribosomal RNA", at positions 568 to 774 of the family's 1533-position model. The record is from RNAcentral.